CAAAGUUGCUAAAGUCCAUUAUCACAUGAGUCUGUACCAUAGUUCACAGACAUACACAUGUCACAGCCAAAAUCAUGUCUACUCAAGGAGAAGUUGUCACUGGGAAUAUAACAUGAUUAGCCUAUACAGCUAGUGUUACAUUUGACAUCGAAUGAGAAUAAAAAAUAAACAAUGAAUGCAUUUUUAAGAGAAAUCCUCUACACUGAAAGAGAGGAUCUGAAGGGGUUAGCAAACUGUGGCCCAUUGGCCAAAUUUAGUUCCACACCUGUUUUAGUGUGGCCUUUAAGCUGAGAAUGGUUUUUAUGUUUUCAAUUGUUUGAAAAAAAUCAAGGGAAGCAUACUAUAUCAUGACACACAAAACUGAAAUGAAAUUGAAAUUUCAGUGCCACUACAUACACUUUUGCUGGAACACAGCCAUGCCUGUUCAUUUAGGGAUCGUCUACAGCUGCUUUAGAGCUAGAAUGCCAGAGAUGAGUAAUAGCGGCAGAGACCGUAGGGCCUGCAAAGCCAAAUAUAUUUAAUAUGUGGCCCUGUAAGGAGAAUUUUGCUGACCUCUGCUCUGGAGGAUGGAAAGUACUUCCAGAUGAAGCUGGACUAUCCUAGGGACUCGGGGUCCAGGCUAGGACUUCUUGAUAAAGCCACCCUACAGAGAGAGGUUCAUCAAAGAGAGAAUAUAGUCCUGCACCCCAGACGAGCCUGCUCCACUGAACAGCAAGGACAGGAGGCAAACUGCCAGGAGAAGCCAGAGAGAAUGAGGGGCUGAGAGCACCUGGGACCAUAGCUUCUAUGAGUGACAACACCUUUCAUUUGCUCUAACCCUCACCCACAUUAUCCACUUCUGUAGAUACUCCUGAUAAGUCAAUGUUCCAGGUAUAUCCAAGUCACAAGAGUGGAAGGAUGGAAGCAUUACUGAGUUAGACCUAGUAUGUGCUGGAUGUUUAAAUGUUAAUCUUCCUCACGACUUUCCUAUCAGGUAGGCAUUAUCAUCUCCAUCUUUCAAGUGAUAUUAGCUUGCUUUUUUUUUUUUUUUUUUUGAGACGGAGUCUUGCUCUGUCACCCAGGCUGGAGCACAAUGGCAUAAUCUCGGCUCACUGCAACCUCCACCUCCCAGGUUCAAGCCAUUCUCCUGUCUCAGCCUCCCGAGUAGCUUGGACUACAGGAGCACGCACGCCACCAUGCCCAGCUAAUUUUUUUAUUUUUAUUAGAGAUGGGAUUUCACCAUGUUGGCUGGGAUUACAGGCGUGAGCCACUAUGCCCCACCAGCUUGCAUUUUUUUUUUCUGAGUGAUUACCAUAGUCCCUGGCAUUAUUCUGUGAGCUUUACAUAAAUGGAGUCAUUUAAUCCUCGCAACGAUUCUACAGAGGUCAU
This 1368-nucleotide long non-coding RNA is filed under the name Homo sapiens (human). RNAcentral describes it as "non-protein coding lnc-GPR137B-6:2". The record is from RNAcentral. Lineage: Eukaryota; Metazoa; Chordata; Mammalia; Primates; Hominidae.